GUCCUCGUAGUCCAAUGGAUAGAAUAUCUCCCUCCGAAGGAGAAGAUGCGCGUUCGAUUCGCGCCGAGGGCA
RNAcentral lists this transfer RNA (72 nucleotides) under Candidatus Magasanikbacteria bacterium CG10_big_fil_rev_8_21_14_0_10_36_32. RNAcentral describes it as "tRNA-Arg". It matches the Rfam family "tRNA". From Rfam's summary of the family: Transfer RNA (tRNA) molecules are approximately 80 nucleotides in length. Lineage: Bacteria; Candidatus Magasanikiibacteriota. The record is from RNAcentral.